Molecule: long non-coding RNA, 1798 nt
Organism: Hemicordylus capensis (graceful crag lizard)
Lineage: Eukaryota; Metazoa; Chordata; Lepidosauria; Squamata; Cordylidae
Exons: 5
Source: RefSeq, a predicted model, not a curated record
UCCAGCUGUAGCUGUCGGAUUCUGACGUCUUUCUGCGAAAGCUCGCCCUUCAACCGCCGGAUCUCGUCCUGUUGUCGGAAGAACAUCCGGAGGAGCUUGGAACAGGACAGAGAGAGGGCAUCAACUUGUGUGGACUUCAGUCCACGUCAUCAGUUGUAUGAAGUGUCAUCCUCCGUUGGCAGGAAUACACAAGCACAUGGGAAUCAGGAAAGCAAGGAACUAAAGGAGGCGUCCCCGGACUAUGGGAAGGACGAAGGUCAAUGAGCCGAUUCACAUGGUCACUAAGAGAGGAGGAGAAGCAUCCUACCCCGAAUCAGGAGCUGAAUGCAUGCACUCCUGUUUUAUGUUCAUACUGCCAUUUGGGAUGAAAAUUGCACCAGAACAUUCUCAAGCACGUCAAAUUUACCCUAAGGAGCUGCCUCUCGCUGUGGCAGAAAUAGCCUCUCAGGCAGAAACUCUGUGUGUUUGCCUCUCCCUUCAGACCGUAAUCAAGACAAGAGAGGCUUAAUAGCAGACUGCCAUUUGGGAUGAAAAUUAUGCCAGAACAUUGCAGUGAUGCAGAUCUACAGUGAUUUCUCCAUGCGAGCUCUUUCCCCCUUCACAGCUCCUCCCUUGUUUGGGAAGAUGACACCCCCAGUUUUCAUAAGAUCCCACCAAACUCCAGGACCCAGAAUGGAAUCUGUCCUAAGCGGCACGAAGCUGGCAGCCACCUCAGAUGUUGGCCAAGGCAAUUCUGAUGCUAUGGAAUGUUCACAAACAUUCUCAUUGCUGAGGGGAAAGGACUAGCAGCACAGACAUCUCAACCCAGCCCUCGAGACUGUGUCCCAUAUGGGCAUCUUCCGAAGGGCACAGGUGCCGUUCAGAGGGCACGUGACAUCAGGAGUGCUGCCAUGUAUUCAAGCCUCAGGACGCCUGGCCACGCCUGGCCCCUCCCUCCCUCCCUCCACCACGAUGAAGCAGAAGGCAAAGCUCACCCACCUUGCCGGCCAAGUACAACAUGUGCGUAUCGGCAUCGUAGAAUGGGAACAGGAGCCCAGACAGGCCGUCAAUCUCCUCCUCUAUUAAGGGCAUGGACAGAUCUUCCUGCAGAAAUAGUACGCAUAGAGAGAGGCAAUCUGUGUUGUUCUGCACGGAGCGAUUGUCUUCGGUUGCUCAGCUGGAUGCCCCCUCAACUGGUGGGACACCAACCAACCCCACCACCAACCAACGAUCGUUUCCUGACCUGGUCCCAGAGGGCGAUCUGCCUCGUAUUCCACCGCGAAACUCCCGUCGUUAGAAGCCGCUUCAUGUUUCCUAAGACAACAACCCGAUUCACACGAUGGUUCUUGCAGCUGGCUUCCUGGGAAGAGAACCAAGGAUGCUGGACUGAGAUGGGCCUAGAUCCGACCCAGCCUGGCAGCCGCCAGCUACCUCUUCCAAACCAAUGCAGACAGCCGAGUGUAGUGGUUAGUUCAGGGAUCCCCAGACGCUGGAUUACAACCCCCAUCAUCCUCAACCACAACGGUUGGGGAUGACUGGAGCUGCAGCCCAACAGCGUCUGGAGGCCCAGGCUUGAGGACAAUCCUUGGGUUGGAGUGUCAUAGGACCAGGGAAACCUGGGUUCAAAUCCCAACCAAGCUAUGAAACUCAUUGGUUGACCCUUGAGCCAGCGGUGCUCUCUCUCAGCCUAGCCUACCAUGCAGGGUUGGCGCGAGGACAAAUGGAUGAGAAAGGAACCAUGUGUGCUAGCUAGCUUGUGUUCCUUCAAGGGUGCUGUUGUUUUUAAAAAUGCAACCAAUAAAUGUAUUUAUUAAGGCCA